CACUACUCUCUGACAACUAGCGGCAACGGACGCCGCUCCAUUACCUGCAACAGGCUCUACGUGGCAGGCCAUGACAAUAGCCACGGGUCUACUCCACUACCCUUCGCAAUAAAUUCCCCUGACCAUGGGCGGCCCACUACCAGACGGUUACAAAUGUCGCCAUCAAUCCGUUGCCUCCUCCGCCUAUAAAAGGGGGACCCAGAUACGUUGUUCUCUAAGCUCAUUUCUUAUCUCAAAACUCUGC
RNAcentral lists this long non-coding RNA (244 nucleotides) under Elaeis guineensis (African oil palm). RNAcentral's name for it is "long non-coding RNA (EGUI_LNC059709)". Lineage: Eukaryota; Viridiplantae; Streptophyta; Magnoliopsida; Arecales; Arecaceae. The record is from RNAcentral.